GAUGAACGCUAGCGGCAGGCUUAACACAUGCAAGUCGAGGGGUAUGCUUCUUCGGAAGCAGAGACCGGCGCACGGGUGCGUAACGCGUAUGCAAUCUACCUUUUACAGAGGGAUAGCCCAGAGAAAUUUGGAUUAAUACCUCAUAGUAUUAUAGGAUGGCAUCAUUUAUAAUUAAAGUCACAACGGUAAAGAUGAGCAUGCGUCCCAUUAGCUAGUUGGAAGGUAACGGCUUACCAAGGCUACGAUGGGUAGGGGUCCUGAGAGGGAGAUCCCCCACACUGGUAC
RNAcentral lists this ribosomal RNA (285 nucleotides) under uncultured bacterium. RNAcentral describes it as "partial 16S ribosomal RNA". It matches the Rfam family "Bacterial small subunit ribosomal RNA", at positions 28 to 319 of the family's 1533-position model. The record is from RNAcentral.